This 506-nucleotide ribosomal RNA is filed under the name uncultured bacterium. Its description in RNAcentral is "partial 16S ribosomal RNA". It matches the Rfam family "Bacterial small subunit ribosomal RNA", at positions 30 to 523 of the family's 1533-position model. The record is from RNAcentral.
AUUGAACGCUGGCGGCAGGCCUAACACAUGCAAGUCGAACGGUAACAGGAAGUAGCUUGCUACUUUGCUGACGAGUGGCGGACGGGUGAGUAAUGUCUGGGGAUCUGCCUGAUGGAGGGGGAUAACUACUGGAAACGGUAGCUAAUACCGCAUAAUGUCGCAAGACCAAAGCGGGGGACUUUCGGGCCUCGCACCAUCAGAUGAACCCAGAUGGGAUUAGCUAGUAGGUAGGGUAAUGGCUUACCUAGGCGACGAUCCCUGGCUGGUCUGAGAGGAUGACCAGCCACACUGGAACUGAGACACGGUCCAGACUCCUACGGGAGGCAGCAGUGGGGAAUAUUGCACAAUGGGCGCAAGCCUGAUGCAGCCAUGCCGCGUGUAUGAAGAAGGCCUUCGGGUUGUAAAGUACUUUCAGUCAGGAGGAAGGGUGUGAAAUUAAUACUUUCAUGCAUUGACGUUACUGACAGAAGAAGCACCGGCUAACUCCGUGCCAGCAGCCGCCGCCG